Molecule: long non-coding RNA, 442 nt
Filed under: Nicotiana benthamiana
Lineage: Eukaryota; Viridiplantae; Streptophyta; Magnoliopsida; Solanales; Solanaceae
Description: long non-coding RNA (NBEN_LNC002241)
Source: RNAcentral
AGAUGCAACAACUUUAAGAAUAUCUAAAGGAAUAUGAAUAAAUUUAACUAAAGCAUUACGUGCAUUAGCCACCUCUGCAAUAUGAUUAUCAACAUAAUCUUCAACAUCAACAGAAUUAGAUGUUCUCAUUGCCUUAAGACGAGGAUAACAAACUUCAAAAUCGGUUAUGGCAGUUGUAUAGUAUUUAAUCGCGUCGUUAAAUGCGCCAUUAACGGUAGAAUCAACAGCGUCAUCAAUUAACUCUAUCGCGGGUAUGAAAUGAUCGUUGCAAUCGCUUAAAGCUUGUUGUGUAUCGGACGAUAAUUGUGCGCUAUUAUCCAAAAGUUUCAAUCUCACUGUGAUUGACACAUUUGUAGCCUCUUGUUCGAUUUUUUUGAGUGCUAAAAAUGCUAUUGUUUUUAAAUCGGCUUUUUGAAGAGAAUCGAGGUCUGAUUUAGAUCUA